This 465-nucleotide ribosomal RNA is filed under the name uncultured bacterium. Its description in RNAcentral is "partial 16S ribosomal RNA". It matches the Rfam family "Bacterial small subunit ribosomal RNA", at positions 28 to 507 of the family's 1533-position model. The record is from RNAcentral.
GAUGAACGCUGGCGGCGUGCUUAACACAUGCAAGUCGAACGGAAAGGCUCCUGCUUGCAGGGGUACUCGAGUGGCGAACGGGUGAGUAACACGUGGGUGAUCUGCCCUGCACUUCGGGAUAAGCCUGGGAAACUGGGUCUAAUACCGGAUAGGACCACAUUUUGGAUGGUGUGGUGGAAAGUUUUUCGGUGUGGGAUGAGCUCGCGGCCUAUCAGCUUGUUGGUGGGGUAAUGGCCUACCAAGGCGUCGACGGGUAGCCGGCCUGAGAGGGUGUACGGCCACAUUGGGACUGAGAUACGGCCCAGACUCCUACGGGAGGCAGCAGUGGGGAAUAUUGCACAAUGGGCGCAAGCCUGAUGCAGCGACGCCGCGUGGGGGAUGACGGCCUUCGGGUUGUAAACUCCUUUCGCUAGGGACGAAGCGCAAGUGACGGUACCUGGAGAAGAAGUACCGGCUAACUACGUG